AGCAGCCGCGGUAAUUCCAGCUCCAAUAGCGUAUAUUAAAGUUGUUGCAGUUAAAAAGCUACGUAGUUGAAUUUUCGGGGGUCUAGGUAGGUUGGUCAUGCCACUGGUAUGGUACUGGUCUCACUGAUUCCUCCUUCCUGAUGAACUGUAAUGCCAUUAAUUUGGUGUUGCAGGGAAUCUGGACUGUUACUUUGAAAAAAUUAGAGUGUUUAAAGCAGGCUAACGCCUGAAUACAUUAGCAUGGAAUAAUGAAAUAGGACGUUCGAUCCUAUUUUGUUGGUUUCUAGGAUUGACGUAAUGAUUAAUAGGGAUAGUUGGGGGCAUUAGUAUUCAAUUGUCAGAGGUGAAAUUCUUGGAUUUAUUGAAGACUAACUACUGCGAAAGCAUUUGCCAAGGAUGUUUUCAUUAAUCAAGAACGAAAGUUAGGGGAUCGAAGACG
RNAcentral lists this ribosomal RNA (439 nucleotides) under uncultured Glomeromycotina. Its description in RNAcentral is "SSU rRNA". It matches the Rfam family "Eukaryotic small subunit ribosomal RNA", at positions 569 to 1006 of the family's 1831-position model. The record is from RNAcentral. Lineage: Eukaryota; Fungi; Glomeromycota.